This 242-nucleotide long non-coding RNA is filed under the name Elaeis guineensis (African oil palm). Its description in RNAcentral is "long non-coding RNA (EGUI_LNC055985)". The record is from RNAcentral. Lineage: Eukaryota; Viridiplantae; Streptophyta; Magnoliopsida; Arecales; Arecaceae.
ACUUCUUUUGAGCUUGUGUAGGAUAACUAUAUGUUUCUUUAUAUAUAUUAAAAAAAAUAAAAAAAAAUUUAAGUACUUCAUACUGAGAACCGGACCUCUUUACCUAAGCAAAUAUUGAGUUUCACAUCAAAAGGUAUGAAGGAUAAAGAAGCAUUAUUGUAAAGCUAGUUUUAACUCGUAGCCUGUUUGAUUCGAGUAACUAGGUUCGAGGGGUAUUCAAUAUCUAAUACCCUAAAGCCACU